This 712-nucleotide ribosomal RNA is filed under the name uncultured bacterium. Its description in RNAcentral is "bacterial SSU rRNA". It matches the Rfam family "Bacterial small subunit ribosomal RNA", at positions 789 to 1501 of the family's 1533-position model. The record is from RNAcentral.
GGUAGUCCACGCCGUAAACGAUGUCGACUUGGAGGUUGUGCCCUUGAGGCGUGGCUUCCGGAGCUAACGCGUUAAGUCGACCGCCUGGGGAGUACGGCCGCAAGGUUAAAACUCAAAUGAAUUGACGGGGGCCCGCACAAGCGGUGGAGCAUGUGGUUUAAUUCGAUGCAACGCGAAGAACCUUACCUACUCUUGACAUCCAGAGAACUUUCCAGAGAUGGAUUGGUGCCUUCGGGAACUCUGAGACAGGUGCUGCAUGGCUGUCGUCAGCUCGUGUUGUGAAAUGUUGGGUUAAGUCCCGCAACGAGCGCAACCCUUAUCCUUUGUUGCCAGCGGUCCGGCCGGGAACUCAAAGGAGACUGCCAGUGAUAAACUGGAGGAAGGUGGGGAUGACGUCAAGUCAUCAUGGCCCUUACGACCAGGGCUACACACGUGCUACAAUGGCGCAUACAAAGAGAAGCAAUCUCGCGAGAGCUAGCGGACCUCAUAAAGUGCGUCGUAGUCCGGAUUGGAGUCUGCAACUCGACUCCAUGAAGUCGGAAUCGCUAGUAAUCGUGAAUCAGAAUGUCACGGUGAAUACGUUCCCGGGCCUUGUACACACCGCCCGUCACACCAUGGGAGUGGGUUGCAAAAGAAGUAGGUAGCUUAACCUUCGGGAGGGCGCUUACCACUUUGUGAUUCAUGACUGGGGUGAAGUCGUAACAAGGUAACC